This is a long non-coding RNA of Gadus macrocephalus (Pacific cod), 378 nucleotides long. RefSeq lists it as uncharacterized. The record is from RefSeq and is a predicted model, not a curated record. Lineage: Eukaryota; Metazoa; Chordata; Actinopteri; Gadiformes; Gadidae. The transcript has 2 exons.
AGAGCCUGGAGUACAGGUGUUAGAGUAGAGUAGAGCCUGGAGUACAGGUGUUAGAGUAGAGUAGAGCCUGGAGUACAGGUGUGAGAGUAGAGUAGAGCCUGGAGUACAGGUGUGAGAGUAGAGUAGAGCCUGGAGUACAGGUGUGAGAGUAGAGUAGAGCCUGGAGUACAGGUGUGAGAGUAGAGUAGAGCCUGGAGUACAGGUGUUAGAGUAGAGUAGAGCCUGGAGUAUAGGUAUUACAGUACAGUAGAGAGUAGAGUACAGUAGAGCCUAGAGUACAGAUAUCAGAGUAGAGUACAGAUAUCAGAGUAGAGAGUAGAGUACUGAUAUCAGAGUAGAGUACAGAUAUCAGAGUAGAGUACAGAUAUCAGAGUAGAG